CUGGCUCAGGAUGAACGCUAGCGACAGGCUUAACACAUGCAAGUCGAGGGGCAGCAUAAAAGUAGCAAUACUUGGUGGCGACCGGCGCACGGGUGAGUAACGCGUAUGCAACCUACCUAUCAGAGGGGAAUAACCCGGCGAAAGUCGGACUAAUACCGCAUAAAACAGGGGCACCGCAUGGUGAUAUUUGUUAAAGAAAUUCGCUGAUAGAUGGGCAUGCGUUCCAUUAGGUAGUUGGUGAGGUAACGGCUCACCAAGCCGACGAUGGAUAGGGGAACUGAGAGGUUGGUCCCCCACACUGGUACUGAGACACGGACCAGACUCCUACGGGAGGCAGCAGUGAGGAAUAUUGGUCAAUGGACGAGAGUCUGAACCAGCCAAAAGUAGCGUGAAGGAUGACUGCCCUAUGGGUUGUAAACUUCUUUUAUAAGGGAAUAAAGUGAGGGACGUGUCCCUUUUUGUAUGUACCUUAUGAAUAAGGAUCGGCUAACUCCGUGCCAGCCGCCGC
Molecule: ribosomal RNA, 508 nt
Filed under: uncultured bacterium
Lineage: Bacteria
Description: bacterial SSU rRNA
Rfam family: Bacterial small subunit ribosomal RNA
Source: RNAcentral